CAGGGAAUAGUUUAAAAAAACAUUAAUUUUGGAGAUUGAAAAUGAAGCUAGCUUUUUCCUUGA
This 63-nucleotide transfer RNA is filed under the name Trigonopterus triradiatus. Its description in RNAcentral is "tRNA-Pro". Lineage: Eukaryota; Metazoa; Arthropoda; Insecta; Coleoptera; Curculionidae. The record is from RNAcentral.